RNAcentral lists this transfer RNA (68 nucleotides) under Caenopedina pulchella. RNAcentral's name for it is "tRNA-Cys". The record is from RNAcentral. Lineage: Eukaryota; Metazoa; Echinodermata; Echinoidea; Pedinoida; Pedinidae.
GGUUUUAUAGUGUAAUUAAACAUUAAGGAUUGCAAAUCCCUAGAUGCAACUAAUAAUUGCUAAAGCUU